UUGCUCCUUGAUUCAGCGGCGGACGGGUGARUAAUGCCUAGGAAUCUGCCUGGUAGUGGGGGACAACSUUUCGAAAGGAACGCUAAUACCGCAUACGUCCUACGGGAGAAAGCAGGGGACCUUCGGGCCUUGCGCUAUCAGAUGAGCCUAGGUCGGAUUAGMUAGUUGGUGGGGUAAUGGCUCACCAAGGCGACGAUCCGUAACUGGUCUGAGAGGAU
This 218-nucleotide ribosomal RNA is filed under the name Pseudomonas putida. Its description in RNAcentral is "partial 16S ribosomal RNA". It matches the Rfam family "Bacterial small subunit ribosomal RNA", at positions 80 to 301 of the family's 1533-position model. Lineage: Bacteria; Pseudomonadati; Pseudomonadota; Gammaproteobacteria; Pseudomonadales; Pseudomonadaceae. The record is from RNAcentral.